AUUGAACGCUGGCGGCAGGCCUAACACAUGCAAGUCGAACGGUAACAGGAAACAGCUUGCUGUUUCGCUGACGAGUGGCGGACGGGUGAGUAAUGUCUGGGAAACUGCCUGAUGGAGGGGGAUAACUACUGGAAACGGUAGCUAAUACCGCAUAACGUCGCAAGACCAAAGAGGGGGACCCUCGGGCCUCUUGCCAUCGGAUGUGCCCAGAUGGGAUUAGCUUGUUGGUGGGGUAACGGCUCACCAAGGCGACGAUCCCUAGCUGGUCUGGGAGGAUGACCAGCCACACGAGAACUGAGACACGGUCCAGACUCCUACGGGAGGCAGCAGUGGGGAAUAUUGCACAAUGGGAGCAAGCCUGAUGCAGCCAUGCCGCGUGUAUGAAGAAGGCCUUCGGGUUGUAAAGUGCUUUCAGCGGGGAGGAAGGGAGUAAAGUUAAUACCUGUGCUCAUUGACGUUACCCGCAAAAGAAGCACCGGCUAGCCCCGUG
Molecule: ribosomal RNA, 490 nt
Filed under: uncultured bacterium
Lineage: Bacteria
Description: partial 16S ribosomal RNA
Rfam family: Bacterial small subunit ribosomal RNA
Source: RNAcentral